Molecule: long non-coding RNA, 4034 nt
Organism: Diceros bicornis minor
Lineage: Eukaryota; Metazoa; Chordata; Mammalia; Perissodactyla; Rhinocerotidae
Exons: 10
Source: RefSeq, a predicted model, not a curated record
AACUGUCCAGAAUCGACAAAUCCAUAGGGGGAGAAAACAGAUGAGUUGUUUCCAUGGGCUUGGUUUAGGAGAAAAUAGAGUGUGAAUGAGUGUGGGUUUGUUUGAGGGUGUUGAAAAUGUUCUGGAAUUAGAUAGUGGUGACAUAAUCAUUGUACUAAAAGCCACUGAACUGUAUACUUUAAAAUGCUUACAAUGGUGUAUUUUGUGUUAAGCAAAUUUUCCUCCAUAAAAACUUUGAAUUUUUUAAAUUAAUCAGGGUAUAGAUUAAUUUUAAUUUAGUUAAUUUUAAGUUGGGAUGUUUAAUAAGGGUAAUUAAUGAAUUUAUUAGGGGUAGGGCAGGUUGUAGCCAAGAGAGUAAACACCUGAUGAGGGCUAUAGUAACAAAUCCUAUAAUUAUACAAGCAACAGUCUAAAAUCCAGUCCGUUUCCAUUGUCCCCAACUUGGAGAGACCAGCCAUGAAAGUAGGUCAGUGAUCUUGGGGGCCUUGGGUAUCUGUUCAAAGAUUUGGGUAAUAUUAUGCAAUAUUUUAACCUCUUGGGCCAUCUGGUGGAAGUAGGUUUGAACUUGUGAGUUGAUGUACAUUCAGCAAGUGGUUCUAGGAAAGGCACAAACCCCUCCUUCCUUGGCCGGUAUAGACAGUCUAGGGCCAGGCUAUUUUCUAAAACCAUUUAGGCAAGAGACUCAUGAGGCUGUUGCACAAGGGCUAGGAUGGGGUCUUAGGGAGUUGUUGUCCAUGUUGGGUUAAGGUUUUUGGUACUUCUUGGUUGCCUCAGUUACCUGAUUUUGUGUGGGUAGGGCCACCGUGCCUGUGCCCAGUCCAGUCAGUCAGUCCUAGUGGAACUGAACACCCAGUGCUAUAGCACUGACAGUGUCUCUGUGGGUUGGUGGUAGCCAGUCAGGGCAGGAAACUCAGGGGACCUGUGACCUGAGGGAAGCAGGCUGAGAGAGAGACAAUGAUUCAUUGCAGAAUAUAGUCUGGAGAAAGCUGCUCAGAGGGGAGAGAGAAGCUCAUUGGUUGUGAGCCUUGUGAUAUCAGGCCACACUAAAAGCCGAAAGUGGAUGCUCCUGGUGUGAAAUAUUCGUUAGGGCUCUUGGAGUUUGGUGGCGGCAGUGGGAUCCAAAGGAGACAUCUGAUGGCUUCGGGGAUGAGAAACACAGGCAUUGGUACCCGCAAAACCUUUGAGUUCCCCAUCUUUUUUGCCGUUUCUGAGGGCCGUGGCGCCAGCUGCAGAGCUCCAGCCAGCGGCAGAAGCAGAGCAAUGAGCAGUGGUGGAGGUAGAGCUGGCUCCAGCUCUGUUGACAUCACCCCUUCUAGCACUGGAGCCAGCAUUCCCUCCAUCAGCAGUGUUGGAGCUGGAGCAAGGGCCGACAUCGACUCCAGCAGGAGUGGGAGCUGCUGAGCUGGAGUCACCUGGACCAUCAUUUCUAGUGGGAAGCCCAUCUCCACCUGUGGCCGUUAAGGAGUGUGAAGAAGCCUAACCUCAUGGCCUUCCCUCCUAAGCUGGUGGUGGAGCAGUUGACCGUGAUGGAUGCGACCGUAGAGGUGGACACUAACAGGACCUGCUGCACAAAGUGGCUGUGCCGGCUCCAUGAGGAGCUCUUCCAGUAGGUGGUGCCCUCUCAGUGCCUGGGCUCCACCUGGGGCACGAGGAACAAGCCCGGCAAUGAGCACCUGGCACACACCGUUCAGGCCACCAUCAACCACUUCAGAAGGGUGGCCAGCCUCGUUGUCACCACCUGCCUCGGGGACCCGAGCAUGGUGGCCCAGGACAGGGCGAGGGUUGUGGAGCGCUGGGUCCAGGUGGCCCAGGUAUGCUGCAGGAGGCCCAGUGGAGCCCCUCUCUGGAGCCUUGGGAACUGCUUCUCCACCUUUAUUAGCUCCCAGGAUUGAAGUGUGUGGUCUAAGCCCCUGCACAGUCCCUAGGCCCUUCCUGCCAGGGGCCCGCUGACCUUGACUCCAGGUCCAGUGGGAGGAUGCUCACUUCCUAUCUGGCUCCUUCCCUGGGUUGAGCUAAAAUUCUCCUCCCUGUGAGUGUUAUUCUCUGGGUCCUAAAUGAGCCCUUCUGGGGCUCCCUGAUCAUCUGUCUCAUCCAGGAGGGGAGAUUUAAAUAGAAGGGGACCGAAGCUAGAGCAAGCAGGGCUCCAGCGCCCCACCUCACAGCUCAUUCUCUUCCCUUCCCCAGGAGUGCGAGAUCCUGAAGAACUUCUCCUCGCCCCGCACUGUCAUCUCUGCUCUGCGGAAAACCUCCACAAGCCACCUGAAGAACACAUGGGGGAAGUUUCCUGGGAGAGCUCUGAAAACUUAAGGAGCUCUAUAGCCAAGACGAGUCCUUGAGCAGCGAACUGAUGACCAAGGUUAACAAGCAGAGGGAUCUGUUAGGCCCAUGGGCAGGUGGGGUGCCAUUUUUGGGCAGGAGGCCCUAGUCAUGGGACACAGUGGUGUUGGCUGGGCUGUUCCAGGACGAGUUGCCGAGCUGGUGCCAUCAGCAGGUCUUUGGCUUCCAUGCACGUCCAUCCUGCUGGAUGUAGCUUUUUCCAGGCUGUUGAGUGGUUGGGGUGGGUUUAGCCCUCAGCCUAAACCUGUCCUCAGGAAGCCAGGCCCCUGUUGUUCCUUCUGUCUUCACCACGUCUUCAAGGGGGGCACCCUGCCUGCCCCAGGGAUGGGCACGGCAGGGGAUUCCCAUGGCCCAGGUGGACAAACAGGCUGCUCAUCCUUGGGUUUGAACGGCUGCACCAGAGACAGAUGUGUGUGCAUUCUGGGACUCCCCACUGGACCCCUAGAGCAGUCACUCGAGUCAACCACAGGAGUCUCACCUGAGUGCCUGGUUGGCAAUGGCAUAUGCCCCCGGUGGCUUAUGAGAAGCAUCUAAGCAACUGAUGGAUUCUUAGUGAUCCUGCUGAAAGGACGUUAGGAGUUUCAUGCAAACGAGGAAGCAAAGCAUCCUGUCACCACCUUCCCUGUGGAUCAGAGGUGGCACCUUGGGGGUCCAGUUCCUGAGUGGAUACAGAAAGAGUUCAAUGCAGGGGAAUGUCCUGAGGAGUUGCUUGUCUGUCCCAGCCUGGGGGCCAGACACUCCAUGGGACUGGAGUAGGCAAGAGCCACUCAACUGGACUCCCAAGACACCCCGUCCUCUCCAUCCAUGGCUCGGCCCAGGACCACGCUUUGAGAGCUCAGGGGACAGAACUGUUGUCAGUGGUGGGGCUGGGGGUUAGGUGAGGACGGUGAAACAGGGCCUCUGGCUGGGAGGGGCAAGUGGCUUCUUCUCUGUGGCCCCUGAGCAACUCACUGCCGCUGUUUGGGCCUCUGUCUCCUCAUCAGGGAAACGGAGGGAUGGUGAUUCUGUGGUGCAGGCCUCACAGGGUGGAGUUGAGGUAAGAGGGAGGAAAGGAAUGUGGGAGCUUUCUGCCUGCUCCACCUGGAGGGGUGAGGGCCAGAACAAUGAUGACAGUCAUGUGACACUGAGUCCUCAGGAGAACCUGUGAGGUAGCUGGAGUUCUCACACUUUCCAGAUGAGGAAACAGGCUCGGGGAGGCCAGGCCACAGGUCCAAGCUCACACCCAGAGUGAGAGUUGGAGCUGGGCUUGUUCUAGAAUCACAACAUCUUAGAGGAUGGAGUGGCAUUGGUACCAGUUGCCUCGAGUCAGAUGUCCAGGGUCAGAGACCAGUGGUGCUGGAGAGAAAUGGGGUGAGGGGAGUAUGGCCUCGCUGACACGGUCCUCGACCCUGGCAGGAGGGGCCCUCCACGUUUGCCCCCCGGAGAUCAUCCCCCAGAGAGUGCAGGAGAAGCAGCAGCAGCAGCAGGGUGUCAUCCCCAAUCUUGGCACUUUCCUCGGUGACCUGCUGAUGCUGCACCUGGUGAUGGGUGAUAAUCUCGAGGGGAAUGAAAUCAACCUUGAGAAAAGGACUGAGGAAUACCGAGUCAUGAGUAAGAUCCUGCUGCUCCAGGUGGCUGCAAAGAAUUACAACCUAGAGCCUGAGGAGCGAUUUGGGUCCUGGUUCCAGGACAUGGAGCUGCUCAACGAGAAUGAGGGG